AGAGAGUUGAUCAUGGCUCAGGACGAACGCUGGCGGCGUGCCUAACACAUGCAAGUCGAGCGAGGAGAUCCUCGGGAUGAUCCUAGCGGCGGACGGGUGAGUAACACGUGGGCAACCUGCCUCAUAGAGAGGAAUAGCCUUCCGAAAGGGAGAUUAAUACCUCAUAACAUUGCAGUUUCGCAUGGAACAGCAAUUAAAGGAGUAAUCCGCUAUGAGAUGGGCCCGCGGCGCAUUAGCUAGUUGGUGAGGUAGCGGCUCACCAAGGCGACGAUGCGUAGCCGACCUGAGAGGGUGAUCGGCCACAUUGGGACUGAGACACGGCCCAGACUCCUACGGGAGGCAGCAGUGGGGAAUAUUGCACAAUGGGGGAAACCCUGAUGCAAGCAACGCCGCGUGAGUGAUGACGGCCUUCGGGUUGUAAAGCUCUGUCUUCAGGGACGAUAAUGACGGUACCUGAGGAGGAAGCCACGGCUAACUACGUGCCAGCAGCCGC
RNAcentral lists this ribosomal RNA (493 nucleotides) under uncultured bacterium. Its description in RNAcentral is "bacterial SSU rRNA". It matches the Rfam family "Bacterial small subunit ribosomal RNA", at positions 1 to 518 of the family's 1533-position model. The record is from RNAcentral.